GGGCGCGUAGCUCAGGGGUAGAGCGCUUGCUCGACACGCAAGAAGUCAGUGGUUCGAAACCACUCGUGCCCACCA
This 75-nucleotide transfer RNA is filed under the name Nitrospinota bacterium. RNAcentral describes it as "tRNA-Val". It matches the Rfam family "tRNA". Rfam says of the family: Transfer RNA (tRNA) molecules are approximately 80 nucleotides in length. Their secondary structure includes four short double-helical elements and three loops (D, anti-codon, and T loops). The record is from RNAcentral. Lineage: Bacteria; Pseudomonadati; Nitrospinota.